Molecule: transfer RNA, 58 nt
Filed under: Aconitum episcopale
Lineage: Eukaryota; Viridiplantae; Streptophyta; Magnoliopsida; Ranunculales; Ranunculaceae
Description: tRNA-His
Source: RNAcentral
GGCGGAUGUAGCCAAGUGGAUUAAGGCGGGACCAAGUUACGAUUGUAUCUUUUUCUGC